RNAcentral lists this ribosomal RNA (483 nucleotides) under uncultured soil bacterium. RNAcentral describes it as "bacterial SSU rRNA". It matches the Rfam family "Bacterial small subunit ribosomal RNA", at positions 26 to 502 of the family's 1533-position model. The record is from RNAcentral.
AGAUUGAACGCUGGCGGCAGGCCUAACACAUGCAAGUCGAGCGGCAGCACGGGUACUUGUACCUGGUGGCGAGCGGCGGACGGGUGAGUAAUGCCUAGGAAUCUGCCUGGUAGUGGGGGAUAACGCUCGGAAACGGACGCUAAUACCGCAUACGUCCUACGGGAGAAAGCAGGGGACCUUCGGGCCUUGCGCUAUCAGAUGAGCCUAGGUCGGAUUAGCUAGUUGGUGAGGUAAUGGCUCACCAAGGCGACGAUCCGUAACUGGUCUGAGAGGAUGAUCAGUCACACUGGAACUGAGACACGGUCCAGACUCCGUACGGGAGGCAGCAGUGGGGAAUAUUGGACAAUGGGCGAAAGCCUGGAUCCAGCCAUGCCGCGUGUGUGAAGAGGUCUUCGGAUUGAAAGCAGUUUAAGUGGAGGAAGGCUAGUUACCUAAGUACGUAUUCUUGUUUCGACGUUACCGAUAGAAUAGCACCGUCUAACU